UGGGGAAUAUUGCACAAUGGGCGCAAGCCUGAUGCAGCCAUGCCGCGUGUGUGAAGAAGGCCUUCGGGUUGUAAAGCACUUUCAGCGAGGAGGAAGGUGGUGAGCUUAAUACGCUCAUCAAUUGACGUUACUCGCAGAAGAAGCACCGGCUAACUCCGUGCCAGCAGCCGCGGUAAUACGGAGGGUGCAGCGUAAUCGGAAUUACUGGGCGUAAAGCGCACGCAGGCGGUUUGUUAAGUCAGAUGUGAAAUCCCCGGGCUCAACCUGGGAACUGCAUUUGAAACUGGCAAGCUAGAGUCUCGUAGAGGGGGGUAGAAUUCCAGGUGUAGCGGUGAAAUGCGUAGAGAUCUGGAGGAAUACCGGUGGCGAAGGCGGCCCCCUGGACGAAGACUGACGCUCAGGUGCGAAAGCGUGGGGCAGCAAACAGGAUUAGAUACCCCUGGUAGUCCAGCGCUGUAAAACGAUGUCGAUUUGGAGGUUGUGCCCUUGAGGCGUGGCUUCCGGAGCUAACGNGUUAAAUCGACCGCCUGGGGGAGUACGGCCGCAAGGUUAAAACUCAAAGGAAUUGAC
This 570-nucleotide ribosomal RNA is filed under the name uncultured bacterium. RNAcentral describes it as "partial 16S ribosomal RNA". It matches the Rfam family "Bacterial small subunit ribosomal RNA", at positions 355 to 914 of the family's 1533-position model. The record is from RNAcentral.